RNAcentral lists this transfer RNA (70 nucleotides) under Emplectonema gracile. Its description in RNAcentral is "tRNA-Ser". Lineage: Eukaryota; Metazoa; Nemertea; Enopla; Monostilifera; Emplectonematidae. The record is from RNAcentral.
AGACUAUUACCUAUGAGAAGGAUUUUGUUUUGAAAGCAAAAAUUAAAGCAUUAAUUACUGCUUAGUAGUU